RNAcentral lists this long non-coding RNA (1142 nucleotides) under Sparus aurata (gilthead seabream). RNAcentral's name for it is "lncRNA (ENSSAUG00010014652.1)". The record is from RNAcentral. Lineage: Eukaryota; Metazoa; Chordata; Actinopteri; Spariformes; Sparidae.
AUGCCUUGGAUUACACACAUGUUGUUUGUGGGUUUAAAUGAUAUUUUUUCAUGUCAAGAGUUUGACAGUCUAUUGUGCAAUUGUUCAGUUAAAGGCUGUAGAGAAAAAAUGAUGAGAAAGACUACAUGUCGCGUAUGUGACGUCACGUCAUCAACUUUUCCCUCCGCUGUCAAGUGGCUAAGCAAGGUUCCUGUAUUUCAAGAUGCUGGUGUGUUUUGUACCAGUCCUCAUUCGAGCAGGCACGGCUGUUGUUUCUUUCGGAUCCCUUCAGAUGUGAAGAAUCGCUGGCUCAAAUUGAUCCGGAACAGCUAAAGCCCCCAACCAGGACUGAUGGACACAGGAAUUUUCAGGUCAAGUGUUUUAUUAAUUUUACUGCAUCACAGUUAGCAGUGUCAGCAUACACAGCAGUAUCUACAACUGACCAGUGACCAAAUUAAGCACUUAACAACCACGAACAUGUCCACAAGUCUCCCAGUCCCUCAAAUUGUGCACAAUGCACCACCCCAUGUCAAUCAUAUUACACGCAAUAUGUGGGAUAGUGCCUUGUGCAUAUGUUGUGACUUUUCAUCAUGGCAUUAUUAAUGCAAUUAAUUAUUUAAGCAUCAAUCAGACCUCACAUGAACGUUUACACACCAAAAAUGUAACAGCGUAGCUUUUUAAGUGAGUUUAAGUGAGCAUUAAUUCCAUUUUUAUCACAAGUUUGCUUUCUAUAUUCUCUCCUCAGCACCAUCAUAUCCUGUUCCUGUGUGUCCUGCUUGCAAGUCAGCGCCUUGGAUUUGUAUACCAUUUCAAAUAAAUUAAGUUGACUGUAGUUAUGACCUUGAGCUGUGUUUCUUUGAGUCAAAAACAAUGUUUGUGUUUAAAAACAAUCAGACACAGUCUUUAACAGAAUACACGCUUACUUUAUUCCCAAUGUGAAAGAUGACAGUCAUUUACCUAGAUUAGUGUUUAUAACUUAGAUUUUAUUCAAAUCCUCAAGUUCAAUAUUCAUGUCAGAUAAAUUGUAUGGGCUGUGAGUGUGAUUUUAUAUUUUAUCACCACACACACUCAUUUGUAAAAAUCUUACCUGAUGUUUCAAUGGCUUAACUAUGAUAUUAAGCCUAAUUGCAAAGAUAUAAUUACAGUGUAGGACAAAAGACUGG